Non-coding RNA from Anolis sagrei ordinatus, 697 nucleotides. Lineage: Eukaryota; Metazoa; Chordata; Lepidosauria; Squamata; Anolidae. The record is from RefSeq and is a predicted model, not a curated record.
GGACAUCCAGAUGUUUUGAUGUUUUACCAUCCUUGUGGGAGGUUUCUCUCAUGUCCCUGCAUGAGGAGCUGGAGCUGACAGAGGGAGCCGAGCUGUUAUUAGCUUGCAUUUUGCAAAGAGAAAACCUAGACACGAUUGGAACUGCAGAAUUCAAAGUAACAUUUAAAAUGUUUUCUGAUGGUUAUGCUGUUCAGGAAACACAAGUCUGGAAACUACCGAGAUUUGGGAAUAAAAGAAAGCAAGAAUAACAGAAGGUGGACACUGUCAGAUUUCAGACUUAUUUCUACUGGAUAUGGAAGUAUGCAGAGUCUACAAUGGAAUGUGCCUGCCUCGAUUUGAUUGCCCCCCUUUUACUGUCAGGGUUUCAAUAUGUGGCACAGACUGGAGUUGCUGUAAAAGUCUAAUAUACACUGAUGAAGACUGUCAAGCAACAAGCGGUUUUUGUAAAAACCCAACAGAUCCUGAUUAUUUAUGUUCAUCCAAUACAUACAACUAUGGAACAUGUAGCGAUAGAGGUGCAUGUUGUGUAAGUUGGGAAUAUCUGCAAAUCUAACUCUUCCGUCUCUUAAAAAAGCAUGAACAGAAAGUCAUAUACUUGGAUUCUAACAGAACCAUAACGGUAGAAAUGCAAAGCUUGAAGCAAAGUGGAUUUGUGUUUUUCAUUAACCUCUUUGAAAUAAAAAAAAAACCUGCAUGA